Molecule: ribosomal RNA, 378 nt
Filed under: uncultured eukaryote
Lineage: Eukaryota
Description: partial 18S ribosomal RNA
Rfam family: Eukaryotic small subunit ribosomal RNA
Source: RNAcentral
CAAUAGCGUAUAUUUAAGUUGUUGCAGUUAAAAAGCUCGUAGUUGGAUUUCGGGUGGGACGCAGCGGUCUCGCAUUGCGUUUGUACUGCUGCAGCCCUCCUUCUUGCCGGGGGCGGCCUCUCGGACUUCACUGUCUGGGGGUCAGAAUCGGCGAUGUUACUUUGAGUAAAUUAGAGUGUUCAAAGCAAGCUUACGCUCUGAAUAUAAUAGCAGGGGAUAACACGACAGGACUCUGGCCUAUCGUGUUGGUCUAUAGGACCAGAGUAAUGAUUAAGAGGGACAGUCGGGGGCAUUCGUAUUCCGUUGUCAGAGGUGAAAUUCUUGGAUUUACGGAAGACGAACAUCUGCGAAAGCAUUUGCCAAGGAUGUUUNCAUUGA